CAUGCAGGCGGUUAUACAAGUAGGAUGUGAAAGCCUGGGGCUCAACCUCAGAACUGCAUUCUAAACUGUGUGACUAGAGUAUUGCAGGGGGAGACGGAAUUCCAGGUGUAGCGGUGGAAUGCGUAGAUAUCUGAAAGAACACCAAAGGCGAAGGCAGUCUCCUGGGCAAAUACUGACGCUCAUAUGCGAAAGCGUGGGUAGCAAACA
RNAcentral lists this ribosomal RNA (207 nucleotides) under uncultured bacterium. RNAcentral describes it as "partial 16S ribosomal RNA". It matches the Rfam family "Bacterial small subunit ribosomal RNA", at positions 568 to 774 of the family's 1533-position model. The record is from RNAcentral.